AGCAGCCGCGGUAAUUCCAGCUCCAAUAGCGUAUAUUAAAGUUGUUGCAGUUAAAAAGCUCGUAGUUGAAUUUCGGAAUCUGUCCGUUGGUCGGGCUUCACUGUCCGUACUGAUGUGAUGGGUUCUUACCUUCUGAAUAACCAUCAUGUCAUUAAUUUGGUGUGUUGGGGAAGCAGGACUAUUACCUUGAAAAAAUUAGAGUGCUCAAAGCAGGCUAGUGCCUGAAUACAUUAGCAUGGAAUAAUAAAAUAGGACGGCAUGGUUCUAUUUUGUUGGUUUCUAGGAUCACCGUAAUGAUUAAUAGGGAUAGUUGGGGGCAUUAGUAUUCAAUUGUCAGAGGUGAAAUUCUUGGAUUUAUUGAAGACUAAACUUCUGCGAAAGCAUUUACCAAGGAUGUUUUCAUUAACCAAGAACGAAAGUUAGGGGAUCGAAGACGAUCGGAUACCGUCGUAGUCUUAACCAUAAACUAUGCCGACUAGGGAUCGGACGAUGUUAAUUUUAUAAUGACUCGUUCGGCGCC
This 520-nucleotide ribosomal RNA is filed under the name uncultured Acaulospora. Its description in RNAcentral is "SSU rRNA". It matches the Rfam family "Eukaryotic small subunit ribosomal RNA", at positions 569 to 1087 of the family's 1831-position model. The record is from RNAcentral. Lineage: Eukaryota; Fungi; Glomeromycota; Glomeromycetes; Diversisporales; Acaulosporaceae.